This 254-nucleotide ribosomal RNA is filed under the name uncultured bacterium. RNAcentral describes it as "partial 16S ribosomal RNA". It matches the Rfam family "Bacterial small subunit ribosomal RNA", at positions 524 to 776 of the family's 1533-position model. The record is from RNAcentral.
CACGUAGGGGGCAAGCGUUGUCCGGAUUUAUUGGGCGUAAAGAGCUCGUAGGGGGUUAGGUAAGUCGGGUGUUAAACCCCCAGGCUCAACCUGGGGACGCCACUCGAUACUGCUGUGACUAGAGUCCGGUAGGGGAGCGUGGAAUUCCUGGUGUAGCGGUGAAAUGCGCAGAUAUCAGGAGGAACACCAGCGGCGAAGGCGGCGCUCUGGGCCGGUACUGACACUGAGGAGCGAAAGCGUGGGUAGCAAACAGG